This 432-nucleotide ribosomal RNA is filed under the name uncultured bacterium. Its description in RNAcentral is "partial 16S ribosomal RNA". It matches the Rfam family "Bacterial small subunit ribosomal RNA", at positions 29 to 506 of the family's 1533-position model. The record is from RNAcentral.
AACGAACGCUGGCGGCAGGCCUAACACAUGCAAGUCGAGCGAGGACUUCGGUCCUAGCGGCGGACGGGUGAGUAACGCGUGGGAACGUGCCCUUUGCUUCGGAAUAGCCCUGGGAAACUGGGAGUAAUACCGGAUGAGCCCUUUGGGGGAAAGAUUUAUCGGCGAAGGAUCGGCCCGCGUUGGAUUAGGUAGUUGGUGGGGUAAUGGCCUACCAAGCCGACGAUCCAUAGCUGGUUUGAGAGGAUGAUCAGCCACACUGGGACUGAGACACGGCCCAGACCCCUACGGGGGGCAGGAGGGGGGAAUCUUAAAAAAGGGGGGAAACCCUGAUCUAGCCAUGCCGGGUGGGGGAGGAAGGCCUUGGGGUUGAAAAGCUCUUUCAGCGGGGAAGAAAAGAACGGAACCAGCAAAAGAAGCCCCGGCUAACUCCGU